This is a non-coding RNA of Mus musculus (house mouse), 73 nucleotides long. NCBI's taxonomy places the organism in Eukaryota, Metazoa, Chordata, Mammalia, Rodentia, Muridae. The record is from Rfam.
GGAGAGAUGGCUCAGUGGUUAAGAGCACUGACUGCUCUACCAGAGGUCCUGAGUUCAAGUCCCAGUAUCCACA